GACGAACGCUGGCGGCGUGCUUAACACAUGCAAGUCGAACGGAAAGGCCCUGCUUUUGUGGGGUGCUCGAGUGGCGAACGGGUGAGUAACACGUGAGUAACCUGCCCUUGACUUUGGGAUAACUUCAGGAAACUGGGGCUAAUACCGGAUAGGAGCUCCUGCUGCAUGGUGGGGGUCGGAAAGUUUCGGCGGUUGGGGAUGGACUCGCGGCUUAUCAGCUGGUUGGUGGGGUAGUGGCUUACCAAGGCUUUGGCGGGUAGCCGGCCUGAGAGGGUGACCGGCCACAAUGGGCCUGAGGUACGGCCCAGACUCGAACGGGAGGCAGCAGUGGGGAAUAUUGCACAAUGGGCGGGAGCGUGAUGCGGAAACGCCGCGUGCGGGAUGACGGCCUUCGGGUUGUAAACCGCUUUCGCCUGUGACGAAGCGUGAGUGACGGUAAUAGGUGAAGAAGCACCGGCUAACUACGUG
Molecule: ribosomal RNA, 468 nt
Filed under: uncultured bacterium
Lineage: Bacteria
Description: partial 16S ribosomal RNA
Rfam family: Bacterial small subunit ribosomal RNA
Source: RNAcentral